Molecule: ribosomal RNA, 459 nt
Filed under: uncultured Bacilli bacterium
Lineage: Bacteria; Bacillati; Bacillota; Bacilli
Description: bacterial SSU rRNA
Rfam family: Bacterial small subunit ribosomal RNA
Source: RNAcentral
CGAACGAAACUUCUUACACAGAAUGCUUGCAUUCACCGUAAGAAGUUGAGUGGCGGACGGGUGAGUAACACGUGGGUAACCUGCCUAAAAGAAGGGGAUAACACUUGGAAACAGGUGCUAAUACCGUAUAUCUCUAAGGAUCGCAUGAUUCUUAGAUGAAAGAUGGUUCUGCUAUCGCUUUUAGAUGGACCCGCGGCGUAUUAACUAGUUGGUGGGGUAACGGCCUACCAAGGUGAUGAUACGUAGCCGAACUGAGAGGUUGAUCGGCCACAUUGGGACUGAGACACGGCCCAAACUCCUACGGGAGGCAGCAGUAGGGAAUAUUCCACAAUGGACGCAAGUCUGAUGGAGCAACGCCGCGUGAGUGAAGAAGGUCUUCGGAUCGUAAAACUCUGUUGUUAGAGAAGAACACGAGUGAGAGUACUGUUCAUUCGAUGACGGUAUCUAACCAGCAAGUCA